RNAcentral lists this ribosomal RNA (259 nucleotides) under uncultured bacterium. RNAcentral's name for it is "partial 16S ribosomal RNA". It matches the Rfam family "Bacterial small subunit ribosomal RNA", at positions 28 to 290 of the family's 1533-position model. The record is from RNAcentral.
GACGAACGCUGGCGGCGUGCUUAACACAUGCAAGUCGAGCGAGGCCCACCUCGGUGGUGUCCUAGCGGCGAACGGGUGAAUAACACGUGGGCAACCUGCCCUCAGCACUGGGAUAACCCGGAAACCGGGCUAAUACCGGAUACGACCACAGGCGGCAUCUUCUUCGUGGUGGAAACGAUUUAUCGGCUGAGGAGUGGGCCCGCGGCCUAUCAGCUUGUUGGUGGGGUAACUGCCUACCAAGGCAACGACGGGUAGCCGG